AAAGAAAAGCGUGUUUUUGGCAUCUUUAGUGUGACCUUCUUGUUCGUGUUAUCUUGGGUCAUAGCAUUCAUCGCUGUGGAAGAAGGAGUUGGAGUGUUUCACAUACUCUUCAUUAUCUUCAAUAUCCUUCUCGGAAUGUUUAUCUUCAUAUUCUACUGUAUAUGCAAGAAAGAUGCCAGAGAUGCCAUUUCCUCAUGUGCAUGUAACCGAGAGACAGCGAACGUCAUUAUAAACCAAUGAGAACCAAUAAGAGUUCAAGUUCUGAUAAUGAAACAGAUGUUGGAACAGCAGAGACGAGAACAUAAUUAAGAAUAUAAAAAAUUAAUGUCUUUGAGAAUCUUCUUUUCUUCUUAUAUUACAUUAAACAUGCUUGCAUAAAAGAGAACUUCAUUUUUAUCUAUCAAUACAACACUACGAAACUUAGACACUUUAUAAAC
Molecule: long non-coding RNA, 437 nt
Organism: Octopus sinensis (East Asian common octopus)
Lineage: Eukaryota; Metazoa; Mollusca; Cephalopoda; Octopoda; Octopodidae
Exons: 2
Source: RefSeq, a predicted model, not a curated record